Pelodiscus sinensis (Chinese soft-shelled turtle) is the source of this 3833-nucleotide non-coding RNA. Lineage: Eukaryota; Metazoa; Chordata; Testudines; Trionychidae. The record is from RefSeq and is a predicted model, not a curated record.
CAGGACCACUAAUAUGUUCCGGUGUCCUCAGGCUGACUUUUCUAAUGGGCUCACUAGGUCCAUAGCGAUGCGUUAAAAAGGGACCUCAAUAAUAGAUAGGGGUAUCAUUGGGGCUCUCAAGUGUGGCUGGGGCCCAUGAAGCUGGCAUUCAGAGCAAGAGGCACAAUAACGCCGAGCCUCCAUAUAUAUACCCCAGGCCAGUAGAACCUUCCUAAAAUCUGAUCUAGGGUCUUCUCAACUCCUAGGUGACCCCCCCAAAUAAAUGACUGUGUGCUAGGUCCAGCACAGCUCGCCGGUGAUUCUGAGGCACCAAGAGCUGUUCCACCUCCUGUCCUGGGCCUGGCAGCACUCAGUAUAGUAGAUCCCUCUUGAUAAUGUAAUAGGGUCUAGGGCCCUUGAGCCUUCCUUCUACACGGAUCCAGUUUACUUCAACUACCUCUCUACGAAUGUUUUGAUACAGCGGGUUGUUGGCCUGGUCCUGUCCAAAAUUUUCAAGCGAGGGCCCUACCUGCCUGAGCUUUGGGGAACCUUCAGCCUCUUUCAUCCCAGGGGGCCCUGCUAAGCUAGGCCCAGCCUCCAGCUCGUUUACCUCUCUCAGUGCUUCAUUAUCAGUUGGCUCAGUUUCCCCCCGGGCCAGGGCCUGCCUUAGGUUCUGGGUCAGAAUUCAAGUACCCAGUUUCUUGGCUGCCCUCCUUUUCUGCUUUGAUUUCCGGGGUUUCCCAAGCUCAGAAAAUAGGUCCUGGGAAAAUUCAUGAAAACUUGGGAGGGGGCUCUCUUCCUUUCCCUCAGUUGUAGGGAGCAGGUCACUAAAUCCAGGGAAGUCCCACCCAAUCACAACUGGGUAUGGGAGCCUCGGAACUACCCCCACUGCAACCAUUGUGACAUUCCCCUGGAUCUCUAUUUGUACGGGGACAACAAGGUAAUAAUUGACAUCUCCAUGGACACAGGAGAUCCCUGUGCGCUUGGCAUGGGUCAGCUGGUCUGGUUCCAUCAGCUGCCCAGAGACCAAUGUAACGACGCUCCCUGAGUCCACCAAGGCCGUGGUCUCUAUUCCAUUCAUCUUAACAGGUGCCCUGUGAAGGACGCCAGACCAUCACCACCCAGUUGAAACACCAGAAGUACAACCCUUCCAUUUUUGUGAGUCUAACACUAAAAAUAUUAACCUGUCAGAGGUGAUGAAGAAAGUCCUUUUUCUUCAACAGCUGAAGUGCUCUGCUGUCUCCUGCCUCAUAGUGUAGUGGGGUAGGAACUGAAUGAGGGCUGGUUUCAAAACAGCAUCUGAAUGCUACAAUGAUGAGCAUACUACUAAUACUUGAGGGAUUGACAGCAUUGCUGAUGUCACAACACAUGAAGAAAAGUAGCAAUACUAUUGGAUAAUGUGUUCAAAGGUCAUCCGUUGGGCCAGCAAGCACAAACUGUUGCAUCAGUUUUAAAAAAGUGUAAGAAGAUCGUUACAUCAAUAUAAACCUUGAGCUAUGUUCUUGAAAAGGUGUAUACAUUGGGUUAGUCAUCCCCACGCUAUAUUUUAUGCCCUGUCAUUCCUGAGCACAGUGCACCCCUAUUAAAAAUGUGAAAUACAGUUCAAUUUCACCACUGCCUAACUCCUACCCAGUGUAGGAAUGUCUGCUUUUUCAAGCUCUUAAACAAGGCUUGGAUUUCAUAUAGUACAACAACUAUGCACUCCAAGCCACCCAAUCAUCAUCCUUCUGCACUUAUACAUUCCACCUUUCAUCCAGAAAGAUCACAGAAUGCUUUACUAACUACACAUAUGCAAAGAAACCAAUCCCACAGCAGCUACCACCAGAAUGUAAUGUGGGAGCUGUUCAGUGUUGCUGUGCAUUGUUAAAACAGGACAAGAAAAAAUGAACAUAGUGCCAUCCCCAUCAAACAGCAGGAAGAAGAGAAGAUGGCAGAAAAGAAUUGCCUGUGUGGAACCUGGCUAGAACGCACAGGCUAGCACACAUUACACUACUGUUCUCGUCUGAAAAGAGAGGCUCUAAUCUUAGGAACUUUGUCCAUGGCAUCACAGUGGAGCACUGGUUCAAUACCGACCAGGAUUGCCAGAUCAAAGUUCAAGUGUGUAACAUUUUACCUGAAACUCAGCCCUGACAAUUUACAAGUAUGAAGCAGUGAACACACACAAAAGGUAAUGACAGAGAUUUGCCUUGUUCACUGUGAAUAUCAAGUGACAUGCUUUCACAUGCCUUGUGUUCUCCCACUACACACUAGGCCAAAGUCUCCUUUUUCAAUUCCUGGUUUUAAAGCUGUCUGACUACGUAUAUUCCAUAAUAUAACUAUCAGCUUUAGGCUGGCUCACUGUUGAUAUGCACUCACUAUGGUCCUGCCAGAGAGUUUUUAUACCUCUUAUCAAAAAUGAUCUCGUUUGGUGUAUAUUAUACUGCUACACAUAUGGGUAUCAUGGAUUCAUGCUUAGAGCAGAGCCAUUCUCGUCCUCCUUGCGACACCAGCUUUGUUUCCACUUGAUUAAUCAGUGCAUAUUCAUUUCUCGUUUGUCCUGUAAGGAACUUGAUGGUGUGUCAGGCCACAGUGCAUGCACAGAGAUGCCAACAAAUGAGGGGAAACAUUUUUUUUUUUUUUUUUUUAAGGAUACUGACGCCACAGUCAUUAAGAGAACCACGUGCUAUUUGUGACUUUCUGUAGCAAAGACUCAAGGUCUGAUGUAGCUGAUCAGCCUUCAUUGUGCACAUUUGCGAUAGAGCUGUUCCGUUAUUGGCCAGAUUCAGGUGGUUGCUGCUCCAUGCUUCAGAUGGACCCGGGGCGUGGUGGCAGUGCUACUGGCCCCACUCCACUGGUGUUGUUCAGAAGAGGAGGGGUCAAGAGCUGGGAGAGAAGAGGCAGAGUGGGGGUAGGACAGGGGCCAAGCAGAGGAGGGGGUUGUCCUGGGCCCUGCCCCCCUCCGAGGACAGCCUUAUUAUGUAUUAAAUUACAUGCAUAUAACAAACAAACAGUCUCCCCCUUGAGCACAGGGUCUCACACUGAACGAAUAAGAGGAAAGGCUGCCAUGCUUUGGAAUAGAUUUCAGUGUCACUGCAGUCCUGCACUCCUUUAUCAACUUCUCUAGGACUACAGGAAACUCUUGAGAUGUGACUGACCAAGUUGCGACCACCCGCACUUAUAACAAUUUCUGUAAGUGUGGAAGGGGCCGAAAACCCACAACAUACAUCCUCAGCCCAUAUUUAUGACAGCGAACAACGCCCAUCAUAAAUGAGGGUCCAAGUUACGAUGCCCUCGACUUGCAACUCUUCCCAGGAACUGAUAACGUUGCAAGUCAGGGGCCACCUGUAUGUAGUUGGCUCCCAAAGAGCACUCAUUUGCAGCACCGAUUUAAUCAGUCCUCAGACUUGUCCUGAAGGUUCCAAGGUGAGUGGAAUGUUUGGCUACACAAAGCACUUCAGCUCACAUGGUUUAAGCAGCUGGCAAGGUUGCCAAAGAAAACUAAGGCAGCUCCCAAAGUCUCCUGAUACCUGAGACUGUUUUGAUCAACUAAACACAAGCCGCCAAGUGCCUUUGGCUGCUCCUUGCCUUUUUUUGGGGGGUGGGGGGAGAAUUCAACCAGGUUUAAAUCAGAGGAUGACAUCAAAUGGGGGGUGGAGGGUUUGCAAAUACAGAAGACAAUAGAACUGCAAUGUGAAGGGGCUACUACAGGUUGCACCUAUAAACCGGGACACUGGUCUGCAGGACCAGUUCUAGGAUCAGAGACCUGGCUUGCUGCAGGGGUGAAGGGAGCUGGCACAUGGCCCAGCUGGGCUGCAGGGAGAGCCAAGAAGCCCAGCACAUGGCCCAACUGAGCUGUGGAGGAAGGGGUAGGAAUC